CUGACACUAAUUGACAGGAGAAUCAACUGUGCGCAGAUUUGUGUCGCGGAAUUUUGUUUGUGUUUGUUGUUGUGGUGGUGAAUAACUAAAACAGCGGAUUAAUCUUUGCCCAGAUACGUCGUUCUUUCCACGAUGUCUUUGGCAAUCCAGCCUUAUGUAUCCAACGAAGUGAGGUUCGAUCCGAAUUGGAUUGAGCAAAUUCUAUUACAAAUCGCUGACGCAUUUGACAUCCGUAUACAAUGGGAUAGAGACACAGCGAUCAUGACCGGAGUGUUCACAGUGGCGGGUGGCCUGAUCGGUGGGUUCGCCGGUGGGAGGAUGGGGGCAGCACUCGGUGCUGGCAUCGGUGGUGCGACGGGGUUAGGAGUUUCUACAUUGGUCUCGCUGCGAGAGAUUUGGGACACAGUGAAAGAGAAACUAAAAGAGUUGCUGUACAUCGUUUUCAACUACCUAAGGCGCUUGGACCCUGUGGAUUAUGCCCGGGCGUUUGAUAUCCUCAUGGCAUGCACGGCCAGUCGUCGUGAGCUGGUUUUCACGAUCUUAGAUUUCGUUGCCCAUAAACUGGGAAGGGAAGUAUUCUCAAGUAUUACUGUAGCUUAGAAACGGAAAUUAAAAUAGUUUAGUAGCAUCUUUGACAAUAUCACUGAGUGAUAAUAACAGAUUUGUUUUAGAAUGUGUUUUGUUACGUAGGUAGGGUAGGAUUGGUGAUUUUUUUUCUUUAAAAUCUUAAUUCGUAGUCAAUGUGUAUAUUUUUUAAGUUUUUUUACAAUUUGUAGUUUUAGUAGAGUUGCACACAUUUUGUCAUUAAUAGAUUGUGGAUUUUUAUUUUUGAUAAUAGUUUUAAAUGUAAUACUACAAAAUAAUAUGAAUCUAAUGUUGUGGUGUCUAUCAAUUAGUUGAUAUAAUUUAUUCACAUGUACCUAAUAAAAAGCAGGUUGUGAGAUUAUGUAACCGUCCCAGAAAUAAUUAGUUAAAUUU
Long non-coding RNA from Ostrinia nubilalis (European corn borer), 978 nucleotides. RefSeq lists it as uncharacterized. The record is from RefSeq and is a predicted model, not a curated record. The transcript is spliced from 4 exons. Lineage: Eukaryota; Metazoa; Arthropoda; Insecta; Lepidoptera; Crambidae.